RNAcentral lists this long non-coding RNA (1605 nucleotides) under Anas platyrhynchos platyrhynchos (common mallard). RNAcentral's name for it is "lncRNA (ENSAPLG00000021940.1)". Lineage: Eukaryota; Metazoa; Chordata; Aves; Anseriformes; Anatidae. The record is from RNAcentral.
AUGCAAGUGCUUCCUUUUGAUAUCUGUUGUUAUAUUCCCGGAAAGAUACACAGUUAUAAUAGAAAAUUAUUUUCGGACCAUACUCGAAAAUACUACAGAAAGUUGCAACCAUGCUGCAGAAUAAGAGUAAAAAUCCUUGGCAUUGCAGACUGGUAUGUGCCAGUGGGAGUUUGCAGAGUCAUUUGCAACCUUGCCAUGCAGAGCUGAAAGCACGUAGCUUCUAUUUGUCGAAGUUAUGCCAGGUCAUACGUUGUGUUUGACUUGUUAGCAAACCUGCUUGCUGAGUUGUGUUCCUUUCCAAGUGGGACGUCUUUCACCUCCAGCUAGCGGAAAAGCAUCGUCACUUUCUUCCUGAUAAUGGAUCAGAAGCAGCAGAUGUUUCCACCACUUCCAAUAUGGUUUACUCUAAUUGAAGUGAAACGUGAAGACAGCCGAUGCAAAAACCAUCUUCAUUUCUUACAUCCAUCUCUUGGCUGAAGUCCUUCUGCUAGCUGCUACACAUUCCUCAGUCAUAAUCUCAAAGCCCUUAAUGAAUCAAGCAUCUAUGAUACUGCUUUGAUUCAUGGACCACUGUUUAUUUGGGAAAAGCUGGUUACAGGACCUGCUAUAAAGCACAUAAAAGAUGGAAACAAACACUGCUGUUACAGUUUUUUCACUGAGACACUCAUAAUGAAAAAUAAUCAUUCCAUUCCUCUCUCAAAAACCAAACACUCCUCAAACUUAGUAGGCCACUUUUCCCCUUAAUGAAAAGUAAAAUCUCUGAAGACAGGGAAGAAUAUACUGCUACUGGUUUUGUAUGGGAGGCUCAAAUUUUGUAGAAUCGGGGAACUAUUAUAAAAUACAUAGCUUAGAUGCAAACAUACUGUAUUAUUUAAGGUUGUUCAGCCUUGUGUAGUUUGCGCUACAUGGGUUAUCAGAGGGUAGAAACUGGUUCUGAUUAACCUCUGUCAGGUAUUCUAAGAAUAAGAGCGAGCAAAAGAAAGGAAAGAAAUCUAUAACAAUUCUGUUGAGUUGUAUAACCAAGCAAAAUUAAGGUGGAUGAUUUCCUUCAGUCCAGUGGUUUGAAAAACUAAGCAAAGUUCACAGGGGGAAAAGAAAGGAUGAAUGUUGAGUAUCACAGAGACACAAUUCAAGAAACUAAUACCUUUUAAAUAACCUUUUAAUCUGACAUGCAACUUUCCACUGGAGAAAUGGAAUGUCCUUUCCAAGCAAUAUAUUUUCCCUUGUGUCAAAGUCUGUGCCAGCACAAUACUAAACAGAGUGAAUGCAAAUUAAAAAGGUGAAAAUGUUUAUUGUUGCAUUGCAAUUAAUAGAAAAGAGAAAAUGAAUUCUCCAUAUUUCAGAUAAAUAAUAUCAGGAGACUAAGUGAAACAGUAAACAAAUUAGAGUAAAUAUUUCACUUGUUAUUAAUGAUUGUGAUGCUGCAAGGAAUCACAUUUUUCAACCCCUCCCUAGAAUUGUUUUCUUCAUAUAAUUUUGAUUUUUUGUAAAAUGAAGUGGUUAUUCAUUUCCAAACACAGAGAGCUUUGUAUUGUUAACAUUCAUUGCCACAAGGGAGCCACACGAUUCUUUAUUGCAAUAAAACACAAAAGGAUGAUCUUGACA